CCUUUGCAGACACCGUACCCAGUUUCCUUCGGGGGAGGGUUUAACUGCCAGGAAACGGAAGUCUCGCUCUUUUCCGUCCUCCCUUCUUGCUGCUCGCCGCGAGUGUCUCCUGAGCGCUGCCUGCCGCGCGCUCGCCUGCGCCCCUCGUAACCAUGCCUCGCAAGAUUGAAGAAAUCAAGGACUUUCUGCUCACGGCCAGGCGGAAGGAUGCCAAGUCCGUCAAGAUCAAGAAAAAUAAGGAUAAUGUGAAGUUCAAAGUCCGAUGCAGCAGAUACCUUUACACUUUGGUCAUCACAGACAAAGAGAAAGCAGAGAAACUGAAGCAGUCCCUGCCCCCAGGUUUGGCAGUAAAGGAGCUGAAAUGAACCCGGCACACUGAUUGGAACUGUAUUAAAGUUUUAAAAAUUCCUAAAA
This is a long non-coding RNA of Felis catus (domestic cat), 414 nucleotides long. RefSeq annotates it as ribosomal protein L38. The transcript has 5 exons. The record is from RefSeq and is a predicted model, not a curated record. Lineage: Eukaryota; Metazoa; Chordata; Mammalia; Carnivora; Felidae.